RNAcentral lists this ribosomal RNA (422 nucleotides) under uncultured archaeon. RNAcentral's name for it is "partial 16S ribosomal RNA". It matches the Rfam family "Archaeal small subunit ribosomal RNA", at positions 323 to 746 of the family's 1478-position model. The record is from RNAcentral.
CUACGGGUCGCUCCAGGCGCGAAACCUUUACAAUGCACGAAAGUGUGAUAAGGGGAUCCAAAGUGCUUACACAUUGUGUGGGCUUUUGCCAAAGCUAAAUCCUUUGGCGAAUAAGUGGUGGGCAAGACUGGUGCCAGCCGCCGCGGUAACACCAGCGCCACAAGUGGCAACCAUGUUUAUUGGGCCUAAAGCGUUCGUAGCCGGUUUAAUAAAUCUUUUGUGAAAUCGUAUAGCUUAACUAUACGACGUGCAAGAGACACUGUUGAACUUGAGACCGGGAGGAGUUAGGGGUAUUCUUGGGGGAGCGGUAAAAUGUUAUAAUCCCUUGAAGACCACCUGUGGCGAAGGCGCCUAACUAGAACGGUUCUGACGGUGAGGGACGAAAGCCAGGGGAGCGAUCCGGAUUAGAUACCCUUGUAGUC